AGCUUUGCGCAGUGGCAGUAUCGUAGCCAAUGAGGUUCAUCCGAGGCACAAUUAUUGCUAAGUGAAAACUUUUCCCAAAAUUCACCUGAAGAACAGGCCAAUUUGACAUGGGCUUUUUUAAAAAAAAAUAAA
Heterocephalus glaber (naked mole-rat) is the source of this 132-nucleotide small nuclear RNA. Its record names the gene U4. It matches the Rfam family "U4 spliceosomal RNA". Rfam says of the family: U4 small nuclear RNA (U4 snRNA) is a component of the major U2-dependent spliceosome. The structure of U4 snRNA from yeast and human has been reported. The record is from Ensembl. Lineage: Eukaryota; Metazoa; Chordata; Mammalia; Rodentia; Bathyergidae.